RNAcentral lists this ribosomal RNA (460 nucleotides) under uncultured bacterium. RNAcentral describes it as "partial 16S ribosomal RNA". It matches the Rfam family "Bacterial small subunit ribosomal RNA", at positions 338 to 795 of the family's 1533-position model. The record is from RNAcentral.
CCUACGGGUGACUGCAGUGAGGAAUAUUGGUCAAUGGGCGAGAGCCUGCACCAGCCAAGUCGCGUGAAGGAUGACGGCCCUACGGGUUGUCAACUUCUUUUGUCAGGGAGCAAUUGAGUCCACGUGUGGUCUUAGCGAGAGUACCUGAAGAAAAAGCAUCGGCUACCUCCGUGCCAGCAGCUGCGGUAAUCCGGAGGAUGCGAGCGUGAUCCGGAUUUAUUGGGUUUAAAGGUUGCGUAGGCGGAAUAUCAAGUCAGCGGUAAAAAUUCGGGGCUCAACCCCGUCGUGCCGUUGAAACUGAUGUUCUUGAGUGGGCGAGAAGUAUGCGGAAUGCGUGGUGUAGCGGUGAAAUGCAUAGAUAUCACGCAGAACUCCGAUUGCGAAGGCAGCAUACCGGCGCCCAACUGACGCUGAAGCACGAAAGCGUGGGUAACGAACAGGAUUAGAUACCCGUGUAGUC